UACGUAGGGGGCAAGCGUUAUCCGGAUUUACUGGGUGUAAAGGGAGCGUAGACGGCCGUGCAAGUCUGAUGUGAAAACCCGGGGCUCAACCCCGGGAGUGCAUUGGAAACUGCAUGGCUGGAGUGUCGGAGAGGCAAGUGGAAUUCCUAGUGUAGCGGUGAAAUGCGUAGAUAUUAGGAGGAACACCAGUGGCGAAGGCGGCUUGCUGGACGACGACUGACGUUGAGGCUCGAAAGCAUGGGUAGCGAACA
This 251-nucleotide ribosomal RNA is filed under the name uncultured bacterium. RNAcentral describes it as "partial 16S ribosomal RNA". It matches the Rfam family "Bacterial small subunit ribosomal RNA", at positions 524 to 774 of the family's 1533-position model. The record is from RNAcentral.